Molecule: transfer RNA, 73 nt
Organism: Jannaschia rubra
Lineage: Bacteria; Pseudomonadati; Pseudomonadota; Alphaproteobacteria; Rhodobacterales; Roseobacteraceae
Rfam family: tRNA
About the family: Transfer RNA (tRNA) molecules are approximately 80 nucleotides in length. Their secondary structure includes four short double-helical elements and three loops (D, anti-codon, and T loops).
Source: Rfam
AGGGGUAUAGCUCAGUUGGUAGAGCAGCGGAUUCCAAAUCCGCAGGUCGCGGGUUCGAAUCCUGCUGCCCCUG